Myodes glareolus (Bank vole) is the source of this 1612-nucleotide long non-coding RNA. RefSeq lists it as uncharacterized. The record is from RefSeq and is a predicted model, not a curated record. Lineage: Eukaryota; Metazoa; Chordata; Mammalia; Rodentia; Cricetidae.
UGAGAUUCCUGGAGUCAGAAUAGCCAUUUUCAGACUGAGGUCAAGAAUGCACCUACAUUCCAACCAACUUUGCAAAUAAAUAUCGAAUGCUUUUGAAGGACAAAAACAAAGCAUCAAGUUGUAAGGAAGUAAAUGAAGCCUGAUAACUCCCUGAACAUUUGGUAUGGUAUGUGGACCAGAGGAAUACCAACUUGGAUGAUAUUGUGACUACUGGUGCUCACCCAGAAGAGUUGGAGUGAGAUUGCUGAACCCAUGUUCCUGAUCCUCUGACAUCAUCAUGCUGCAGUCUGAGAAAGAAAGGAGAUUACAACAACAGUCAAUGACUCCCAUUUUCUUAGAGAAACUGCUACAUGGACCACCUAGACAGCUAUGAGUUUCAUUACUCUGAUUUUGGUCAAGGAACACUGUAUCUACAAUAUAGCUUGGGACACAGAUGUUAACUUUGCCAAUGUGGUGUUUCAUCUGCUGUUGGAAUAGAGAGCCUGGAGAACUGAGACCUCAGAAACUUCCCUUCUGUGGGAAAGAAACUUACUUAUUGAAGCAACAAAAGACUAAAGCCCCUCUCCAGCAUAAGAGGAGGAAUGGAAUAAUGGUUUUACUGAUAAUAUUCAGUAUUUGGAGACUAUAGCAGCUUAAACAUGCCUUUGGAAUUGGUAGCAGUAAUGCAGUUGGACUUUAAGAGUGGAAAGUACUCAUACCUCACCCACCACAAGAACUUUCCCUUUGAUUAGAACAAAAUGGUGAGAAUUGCAAUUUGACCAAUGGUGUCUUCAUUGAUAAUGUUCAUACUAGAAUGAUGGUAUUGACCUGUUAAGUGUUUGUAACCAUUUCUGUUCACUAUGAAAAUGUUACUUGUUGAAGAAAAGGCUCAUGUGUGAGGGAUUUGCCAUGAUGAUAAUGAGUUCUUGGAUUUGACACGUUUAAUAAGACAAAUAUGGAUUUUGAUGAAGUUAAAACUGCUAAAGAUCUCCUGGACCAAUUUAAAAAUAGGUCCUUCUAUCUUAGACACCCUUUACUCCUUUAUUAGGAUGUAUUGUAGUCAUAGAGCAUGUGUAUUGCUAAGCAUUAUCUACUUGCCUAUGAUUAUCCAGUUACUUGUGAAUUCUCAUUGGAAAGUUGGAUCAGAUAUAUGUGGCAUCAAGCUGUGCACUCUUCCUCAACCCUUUAUAAACAGAUACUGGUAGUAAAGAUGGGUAAGAUCUUUUUUCCUUCAGUCAGUUCUAAGACAAGACAUGCAUGACAGAAUAUGUGUACUAGUGAUGGGUAAGUCUGGAAGGUUGAAGAAGACAGCUUAAGACAGGCACAGUUGUUUGUGCUGUGGCAGAAGCACAAGCAUUAAUAAUUAAAUUAAAAGGGGGAACUAUCAGAGCCCACAGCAUGAAUCCAUUCCAUCUUGACUUGAAAGUUAGAGAGUUCAGACAUAUUCUUGUUCCUUCAAGGUUAUAUGACAGGAUGCUUGACCUAAGGUGUGGUUACAGAUGUUCUGCCUAGAAAAAAGAUAUUUUGAUCUAGGGUGUGGUUACUUGAUGUUUGGAGAUGUGUGGAAGAAAUUACUUUGUCCGUUCAUUAUAUCAUGGCAAGGAAGUCUUUUGCCUUUCGCCUUUCGCCUUUU